This 389-nucleotide ribosomal RNA is filed under the name uncultured bacterium. RNAcentral describes it as "bacterial SSU rRNA". It matches the Rfam family "Bacterial small subunit ribosomal RNA", at positions 28 to 419 of the family's 1533-position model. The record is from RNAcentral.
GACGAACGCUGGCGGCGUGCUUAACACAUGCAAGUCGAGCGGUAAGGCCCUUUCGGGGGUACACGAGCGGCGAACGGGUGAGUAACACGUGGGUGACCUGCCCUCAGCUCUGGGAUAAGCCUGGGAAACCGGGUCUAAUACUGGAUAUGACUCCAUGACGCAUGUUGUGGGGUGGAAAGCCUUGUGCGGCUGAGGAUGGGCCCGCGGCCUAUCAGCUUGUUGGUGGGGUGAGGCCUACCAAGGCGACAACGGGUAGCCGGCCUGAGAGGGCGACCGGCCACACUGGGACUGAGACACGGCCCAGACUCCUACGGGAGGCAGCAGUGGGGAAUCUUGCGCAAUGGGCGAAAGCCUGACGCAGCGACGCCGCGUGAGGGAUGACGGCCUGG